UCAACCAGUGCUUUACGACUGGCAUAUGAAAGCGAAAAUUAAUUUACAAUAUUCUCUGUUGUUAUCAGUGUUAAUCGUCAGUCUUGAUCAACCGAUAAAACAAGAAAGGUGUAUUAAGUUUGACCCAAACGUCAGUGAGUGCCACCCCAAGUGACCGGAACUCCUGUUGUCGUCUGCUGACAGCGUUUCCAAUUAGACGCCUUGGCCUGACGUCUGCUUUUAUCACCAAUAACCAUCUGUCUCAUAGCAGAAAGUAUAUAAACAGCCGUUUACGAAACGAUCAUUACUCUGCUAUGCUUUAAAAUAGUCUAAGUUUACUGUUCGCAGUCUACGCAGCAAUGAAGUUCCUGGUUCUAAUUCUACUAGUGUGCAUCGCGUCGACCAUGGGCUACUUUAACAACGGACUUGGCAGGAGAGGGGGCUGUGCAACUUAUGGACAAAGGUGCAACGGAGGAUUUGGAAGGAACUGCUGCAGAGGUCGUAAUUUGGGUUGCUUCGAUGGAUACUGUUCUCGAGUUGACAGUGGUUGAACUAUUCUGUGUCAAGUUUCCUAGGAAUUUCAGCUAUUCGAACUAAUAAAUGUACUGUAAUUACAGCAAUGCAUCUAGUAAUAAAAUUUCCAAAA
Long non-coding RNA from Gigantopelta aegis, 625 nucleotides. RefSeq lists it as uncharacterized. The transcript has 3 exons. Lineage: Eukaryota; Metazoa; Mollusca; Gastropoda; Neomphalida; Peltospiridae. The record is from RefSeq and is a predicted model, not a curated record.